Molecule: transfer RNA, 73 nt
Filed under: Entomospira nematocerorum
Lineage: Bacteria; Pseudomonadati; Spirochaetota; Spirochaetia; Spirochaetales; Spirochaetaceae
Also listed under: 1 other name
Rfam family: tRNA
About the family: Transfer RNA (tRNA) molecules are approximately 80 nucleotides in length. Their secondary structure includes four short double-helical elements and three loops (D, anti-codon, and T loops). Further hydrogen bonds mediate the characteristic L-shaped molecular structure. tRNAs have two regions of fundamental functional importance: the anti-codon, which is responsible for specific mRNA codon recognition, and the 3' end, to which the tRNAs corresponding amino acid is attached (by aminoacyl-tRNA synthetases). tRNAs cope with the degeneracy of the genetic code in two manners: having more than one tRNA (with a specific anti-codon) for a particular amino acid; and 'wobble' base-pairing, i.e. permitting non-standard base-pairing at the 3rd anti-codon position.
Source: Rfam by way of RNAcentral
GGUCGUAUAGCUCAGUUGGUAGAGCACCACUCUUACAAAGUGGAUGUCCUUGGUUCGAACCCAAGUGCGAUCA